Molecule: ribosomal RNA, 497 nt
Filed under: uncultured bacterium
Lineage: Bacteria
Description: partial 16S ribosomal RNA
Rfam family: Bacterial small subunit ribosomal RNA
Source: RNAcentral
GAUGAACGCUGGCGGCGUGCCUAAUACAUGCAAGUCGAGCGAACAGACGAGGAGCUUGCUCCUCUGACGUUAGCGGCGGACGGGUGAGUAACACGUGGAUAACCUACCUAUCAGACUGGGAUAACUUCGGGAAACCGGAGCUAAUACCGGAUAAUAUAUUGAACCGCAUGGUUCAAUAGUGAAAGACGGUUUUGCUGUCACUUAUAGAUGGAUCCGCGCCGCAUUAGCUAGUUGGUAAGGUAACGGCUUACCAAGGCAACGAUGCGUAGCCGACCUGAGAGGGUGAUCGGCCACACUGGAACGGAGACACGGUCCAGACUCCUACGGGAGGCAGCAGUAGGGAAUCUUCCGCAAUGGGCGAAAGCCUGACGGAGCAACGCCGCGUGAGUGAUGAAGGUCUUCGGAUCGUAAAACUCUGUUAUUAGGGAAGAACAAAUGUGUAAGUAACUAUGCACGUCUUGACGGUACCUAAUCAGAAAGCCACGGCUAACUACGUG